GGCAGGGUAGCCAACUUGGUGACGGCAGGCGUCUGAAAAACGUCAGAUAUAGGUUCAAUUCCUAUCCCUGCCG
This 73-nucleotide transfer RNA is filed under the name Planctomycetota bacterium. RNAcentral describes it as "Planctomycetes bacterium (groundwater metagenome) tRNA-Phe". It matches the Rfam family "tRNA". Rfam says of the family: Transfer RNA (tRNA) molecules are approximately 80 nucleotides in length. Their secondary structure includes four short double-helical elements and three loops (D, anti-codon, and T loops). Lineage: Bacteria; Pseudomonadati; Planctomycetota. The record is from RNAcentral.